CGCACGGGCGAGUAACGCGUAUGCGACCUGCCCGUUGCAGGGGGAUAAUCGGGAGAAAUCCCGUCUAAUACCGCGUAACGCCGCGGGGCUGCAUGGCCCUGCGGCCAAAGGGAGCGAUUCCGGCAACGGAUGGGCAUGCGUGACAUUAGCUAGUUGGCGGGGCAACGGCCCACCAAGGCGACGAUGUCUAGGGGUUCUGAGAGGAAGGUCCCCCACACUGGUACUGAGACACGGACCAGACUCCUACGGAAGGCAGCAG
Molecule: ribosomal RNA, 259 nt
Filed under: uncultured bacterium
Lineage: Bacteria
Description: partial 16S ribosomal RNA
Rfam family: Bacterial small subunit ribosomal RNA
Source: RNAcentral